RNAcentral lists this long non-coding RNA (1731 nucleotides) under Homo sapiens (human). RNAcentral describes it as "non-protein coding LINC00638:1". Lineage: Eukaryota; Metazoa; Chordata; Mammalia; Primates; Hominidae. The record is from RNAcentral.
AUCGCGUGCCGACUUCCGUGUUGUCGCUCUCCCCUCCCAAAAGCGCGGCCGCGAGGACGGGCGCUGCCAGCGAUUUCCUCGCCUUUGUGUCGCGGGGCUGUCCGCUGCGCGUUACUUGGUGCGAUACGCGCAUUCGGCGGUGAUCCCGAGCCCCACGCGAACCUCCCUGUGUCCUUGCUAGUGCCUGGCGCCGUCACUGACGCUGAGGCGUGAACACGGAGUCGGCCCAGAGGGGCUGUUCUCCCGGACGCCGAGGCCACCCCACGCGGCCGCAGGGCCGGGCAGAGGGGAACUGCAGGGAGGCGCGGGCCGCAUCCCUCCCGGAGGUCUGCGAGCUUCUUGAGGCCUCACGCCCCCUUUUGAGCCCCGCUGCUGCCCUGUGGCGCUGCUUCUCCAUCCCUGCGGGUGACCAUCGACGCGUUCCCCUUGCUCGCUUCUUGGUUACGGGCCAGGGGAUACUCCUGCCCGACCCUCGGCAUUGCCCAAGGGAGUUUGCACUUCCCACUGUGCUCUGCCAAGCCUCUGUGGAGAGGAGCCCUCCACCUGCCUGACCGGGCCCAGCUUUGGGGAAGACCUUCUUGGUUUUGUCUGCUGGCUGGACUGACCCUGGCCCUCAGCCCAGGUGAGGCGACCAGCGGCAUGAUGCCCGGGUGGAACACGGAUUUAUUUCCAAACAAGGUCACAUUCUGAGGCCCUGGGGGUUAGGCCUUCAACAUAUGAAUUCGAGGGGACACAAUUCGACCCGUAACAGCUUCUGUCUCCCCACACAUCCGAUGUGCUUCUCCCUCUGCCACGCUUAGGCUGGGGUCUCUACCAGGCACCUCGACCCGAGUCCUCACUCAGGCCGGCUCUGAGCCUCACAGCUCUGUCUGUGGGAGCUGCCCUAGUUUUCCACGGACCUUUAUUAGGUGACAUGGGAAUAUCGAGCAGUGCCCCAGAAUCCCUGGGUUUUGACACAGUGCUUCCUCCUCACCUGAGGCAGCAUUCCCACCCUCCUGCAGGGAUCUCUCCGAAGAGAUUCCUCUGCAGAGAUCUCUGGCCCGCGGAGCUCCCUUCUCCAGCGGUCAGCUCGGCAGUGAGCGGCCCCACAUGGCCAGAGGGCAUCUCUGCUCCUGUGUUUGGGAAGCAGACCCACGUUCCCCAGAGGACCGGGAGCCAGGACUGCCACUCCUGCGACCCCACCUUACCAGAGUGGGAAAGAAAAAUCCCUCCAUAGCCGAUUAGCUGUCACGGCCACUCUGUGUAAGGACUGCAGAGGCGUGGCAAGGCCGUGACUGGCGUCCGUCCACAGAAGCCCUCUCACAGGCAUGGCCACCAAACCAUACCAGAGGCUGAGGUGGGAGGAUUGCUUGAACCCAGGAGGCAAGGUUGCAGUGAGCCAAGAUCAUGCCACUGCACUCCAGCCUGAGUGACAGAGCGAGACCCCUAUCUCAAACCCCCCCCCAAAAAACAGAUACAGGUGGAUGAUUGGAUGGGUCAGGGAUGGAUGAAUGGUUGGAUGGGUGGAAGGAUGGAUACAGGGUGGGUGGAUUGUUGGAUAGAUGGUGGGAUAAAUAUUCGGGUGGUGUAUGGUUGGAUGGAUGGUAGGAUGGUGGAUGGUGGAUAAUUGGCUGGAUGGAUAGUAGGAUGGAUGGAUGUUGGAUGGAUGGAUGAACAGUGGGGUGGUAGAUGGGUAGAUAAAUGGUUGGAUGGACAGUAGGAUGGUGGGUGGUUGGAUGGAUGGAUUGAUGG